This 497-nucleotide ribosomal RNA is filed under the name uncultured bacterium. RNAcentral's name for it is "partial 16S ribosomal RNA". It matches the Rfam family "Bacterial small subunit ribosomal RNA", at positions 28 to 507 of the family's 1533-position model. The record is from RNAcentral.
GAUGAACGCUGGCGGCGUGCCUAAUACAUGCAAGUCGAGCGAACGGACGAGAAGCUUGCUUCUCUGAUGUUAGCGGCGGACGGGUGAGUAACACGUGGAUAACCUACCUAUAAGACUGGGGUAACUUCGGGAAACCGGAGCUAAUACCGGAUAAUAUUUUGAACCGCAUGGUUCAAAAGUGAAAGACGGUCUUGCUGUCACUUAUAGAUGGAUCCGCGCUGCAUUAGCUAGUUGGUAAGGUAACGGCUUACCAAGGCAACGAUGCAUAGCCGACCUGAGAGGGUGAUCGGCCACACUGGAACUGAGACACGGUCCAGACUCCUACGGGAGGCAGCAGUAGGGAAUCUUCCGCAAUGGGCGAAAGCCUGACGGAGCAACGCCGCGUGAGUGAUGAAGGUCUUCGGAUCGUAAAACUCUGUUAUUAGGGAAGAACAUAUGUAUAAGUAACUGUGCACAUCUUGACGGUACCUAAUCAGAAAGCCACGGCUAACUUCGUG